This 253-nucleotide ribosomal RNA is filed under the name uncultured bacterium. RNAcentral describes it as "partial 16S ribosomal RNA". It matches the Rfam family "Bacterial small subunit ribosomal RNA", at positions 524 to 776 of the family's 1533-position model. The record is from RNAcentral.
UACGUAGGGCGCAAGCGUUGUCCGGAAUUAUUGGGCGUAAAGCGCGUGUAGUCGGCGUGACAAGUCGGGUGUGAAAGCCCUCAGCUCAACUGAGGAAGUGCGCCCGAAACUGUCGUGCUUGAGUGCCGGAGAGGGUGGCGGAAUUCCCCAAGUAGAGGUGAAAUUCGUAGAUAUGGGGAGGAACACCGGUGGCGAAGGCGGCCACCUGGACGGUAACUGACGCUGAGACGCGAAAGCGUGGGGAGCAAACAGG